Molecule: ribosomal RNA, 463 nt
Filed under: Brucella melitensis
Lineage: Bacteria; Pseudomonadati; Pseudomonadota; Alphaproteobacteria; Hyphomicrobiales; Brucellaceae
Description: bacterial SSU rRNA
Rfam family: Bacterial small subunit ribosomal RNA
Source: RNAcentral
UUKGAKAAGUUUGAUCCUGGCUCAGAACGAACGCUGGCGGCAGGCUUAACACAUGCAAGUCGAGCGCCCCGCAAGGGGAGCGGCAGACGGGUGAGUAACGCGUGGGAACGUACCAUUUGCUACGGAAUAACUCAGGGAAACUGUGCUAAUACCGUAUGUGCCCUUCGGGGGAAAGAUUUAUCGGCAAAUGAUCGGCCCGCGUUGGAUUAGCUAGUUGGUGGGGUAAAGGCUCACCAAGGCGACGAUCCAUAGCUGGUCUGAGAGGAUGAUCAGCCACACUGGGACUGAGACACGGCCCAGACUCCUACGGGAGGCAGCAGUGGGGAAUAUUGGACAAUGGGCGCAAGCCUGAUCCAGCCAUGCCGCGUGAGUGAUGAAGGCCYAGGGUUGUAAAGCYUUCACCGGUGAAGAUAAGACGGUAACSGRAAGAAGCGGUYGCUGACCACACAUGGGWAGGAKACAC